GACGAACGCUGGCGGCGUGCUUAACACAUGCAAGUCGAACGGUGAAGCGCCUUCCUUUUUGGUGGGUGUGGAUGAGUGGCGAACGGGUGAGUAACACGUGAGUAACCUGUCCCCUUCUUCUGGAUAACCGCAUGAAAGUGUGGCUAAUACGGGAUAUUCUGGGUCUGUCGCAUGAUGGGUCUGGGAAAGAUAUUGUUUCGGUGGGGGAUGGGCUCGCGGCCUAUCAGCUUGUUGGUGGGGUGAUGGCCUACCAAGGCGGUGACGGGUAGCCGGCCUGAGAGGGUGGACGGUCACACUGGGACUGAGACACGGCCCAGACUCCUACGGGAGGCAGCAGUGGGGAAUAUUGCACAAUGGGCGCAAGCCUGAUGCAGCGACGCCGCGUGAGGGAUGGAGGCCUUCGGGUUGUGAACCUCUUUCGCCAGUGAAGCAGGCCUGCCUCGUUUGUGGGUGGGUUGACGGUAGCUGGAUAAGAAGCGCCGGCUAACUACGUG
RNAcentral lists this ribosomal RNA (494 nucleotides) under uncultured bacterium. Its description in RNAcentral is "partial 16S ribosomal RNA". It matches the Rfam family "Bacterial small subunit ribosomal RNA", at positions 28 to 507 of the family's 1533-position model. The record is from RNAcentral.